RNAcentral lists this ribosomal RNA (254 nucleotides) under uncultured bacterium. RNAcentral describes it as "partial 16S ribosomal RNA". It matches the Rfam family "Bacterial small subunit ribosomal RNA", at positions 524 to 777 of the family's 1533-position model. The record is from RNAcentral.
UACAGAGGGGGCAAGCGUUGUUCGGAAUUACUGGGCGUAAAGGGCGCGUAGGCGGCCUGCUAAGUCGAACGUGAAAUCCCUGGGCUCAACCCAGGAACUGCGUCCGAUACUGGUUGGCUUGAAUCCGGGAGAGGGACGUGGAAUUCCAGGUGUAGCGGUGAAAUGCGUAGAUAUCUGGAGGAACACCGGUGGCGAAGGCGGCAUCCUGGACCGGCAUUGACGCUGAACAGCGAAAGCCAGGGGAGCAAACGGGG